AGUCUGACGGAGCAACGCCGCGUGAGUGAUGAAGGUUUUCGGAUCGUAAAGCUCUGUUGUUAGGGAAGAACAAGUGCCGUUCAAAUAGGGCGGCACCUUGACGGUACCUAACCAGAAAGCCACGGCUAACUACGUGCCAGCAGCCGCGGUAAUACGUAGGUGGCAAGCGUUGUCCGGAAUUAUUGGGCGUAAAGGGCUCGCAGGCGGUUUCUUAAGUCUGAUGUGAAAGCCCCCGGCUCAACCGGGGAGGGUCAUUGGAAACUGGGGAACUUGAGUGCAGAAGAGGAGAGUGGAAUUCCACGUGUAGCGGUGAAAUGCGUAGAGAUGUGGAGGAACACCAGUGGCGAAGGCGACUCUCUGGUCUGUAACUGACGCUGAGGAGCGAAAGCGUGGGGAGCGAACAGGAUUAGAUACCCUGGUAGUCCACGCCGUAAACGAUGAGUGCUAAGUGUUAGGGGGUUUCCGCCCCUUAGUGCUGCAGCUAACGCAUUUAAGCACUCCGCCUGGGGAGUACGGUCGCAAGACUGAAACUCAAAG
This 537-nucleotide ribosomal RNA is filed under the name Bacillus amyloliquefaciens. RNAcentral describes it as "bacterial SSU rRNA". It matches the Rfam family "Bacterial small subunit ribosomal RNA", at positions 380 to 906 of the family's 1533-position model. Lineage: Bacteria; Bacillati; Bacillota; Bacilli; Caryophanales; Bacillaceae. The record is from RNAcentral.